GGGCUGGUGGUGCAAUAGAUAACGUGUCUGACUACGGAUCAGAAGAUUCUAGGUUUGGCUCCUGACUAGCUCG
RNAcentral lists this transfer RNA (73 nucleotides) under Gasterosteus aculeatus (three-spined stickleback). It matches the Rfam family "tRNA". Rfam says of the family: Transfer RNA (tRNA) molecules are approximately 80 nucleotides in length. The record is from Rfam by way of RNAcentral. Lineage: Eukaryota; Metazoa; Chordata; Actinopteri; Perciformes; Gasterosteidae.